RNAcentral lists this transfer RNA (62 nucleotides) under Paramphistomum leydeni. RNAcentral's name for it is "tRNA-Thr". The record is from RNAcentral. Lineage: Eukaryota; Metazoa; Platyhelminthes; Trematoda; Plagiorchiida; Paramphistomidae.
AGAGGUAGUUUAUAUGUUGAGAAUACUGUUUUUGUAAAACAGAGGUAUUAGUAAAUUCUUUU